UUAAGCGACUAAGCGUACACGGUGGAUGCCCUGGCAGUCAGAGGCGAUGAAGGACGUGCUAAUCUGCGAAAAGCGCCGGCGAGGUGAUAUGAACCCUUGACCCGGCGAUGUCCGAAUGGGGAAACCCAGUGCAAUUCGUUGCACUAUCGUUAACUGAAUACAUAGGUUAACGAGGCGAACCGGGGGAACUGAAACAUCUAAGUACCCCGAGGAAAAGAAAUCAACCGAGAUUCCCCCAGUAGCGGCGAGCGAACGGGGAGCAGCCCGGAGUCUGAAUCAGCUUGUGUGUUAGUGGAACGGUCUGGAAAGUCCGACGGUACAGGGUGAUAGUCCCGUACACGAAAGCACACUUGCUGUGAACUCGAAGAGUAGGGCGGGACACGUGGUAUCCUGUCUGAAUAUGGGGGGACCAUCCUCCAAGGCUAAAUACUCCUGACUGACCGAUAGUGAACCAGUACCGUGAGGGAAAGGCGAAAAGAACCCCGGCGAGGGGAGUGAAAAAGAACCUGAAACCGUGUACGUACAAGCAGUGGGAGCCUCUUUAUGGGGUGACUGCGUACCUUUUGUAUAAUGGGUCAGCGACUUAUAUUCUGUAGCAAGGUUAACCGUAUAGGGGAGCCGAAGGGAAACCGAGUCUUAACUGGGCGUUAAGUUGCAGGGUAUAGACCCGAAACCCGGUGAUCUAGCCAUGGGCAGGUUGAAGGUUGGGUAACACUAACUGGAGGACCGAACCGACUAAUGUUGAAAAAUUAGCGGAUGACCUGUGGCUGGGGGUGAAAGGCCAAUCAAACCGGGAGAUAGCUGGUUCUCCCCGAAAGCUAUUUAGGUAGCGCCUCGUGAACUCAUCUUCGGGGGUAGAGCACUGUUUCGGCUAGGGGGCCAUCCCGGCUUACCAACCCGAUGCAAACUACGAAUACCGAAGAAUGUUAUCACGGGAGACACACGGCGGGUGCUAACGUCCGUCGUGAAGAGGGAAACAACCCAGACCGCCAGCUAAGGUCCCAAAGUCAUGGUUAAGUGGGAAACGAUGUGGGAAGGCACAGACAGCCAGGAUGUUGGCUUAGAAGCAGCCAUCAUUUAAAGAAAGCGUAAUAGCUCACUGGUCGAGUCGGCCUGCGCGGAAGAUGUAACGGGGCUAAACCAUGCACCGAAGCUGCGGCAGCGACACUAUGUGUUGUUGGGUAGGGGAGCGUUCUGUAAGCCGUUGAAGGUGUGCUGUGAGGCAUGCUGGAGGUAUCAGAAGUGCGAAUGCUGACAUAAGUAACGAUAAAGCGGGUGAAAAGCCCGCUCGCCGGAAGACCAAGGGUUCCUGUCCAACGUUAAUCGGGGCAGGGUGAGUCGACCCCUAAGGCGAGGCCGAAAGGCGUAGUCGAUGGGAAACAGGUUAAUAUUCCUGUACUUGGUGUUACUGCGAAGGGGGGACGGAGAAGGCUAUGUCAGCCGGGCGACGGUUGUCCCGGUUUAAGCAUGUAGGCGGAGGUUCCAGGUAAAUCCGGUACCUUUUAACGCUGAGGUGUGAUGACGAGGCACUACGGUGCUGAAGUGAUAAAUGCCCUGCUUCCAGGAAAAGCCUCUAAGCAUCAGGUAACACGAAAUCGUACCCCAAACCGACACAGGUGGUCAGGUAGAGAAUACCAAGGCGCUUGAGAGAACUCGGGUGAAGGAACUAGGCAAAAUGGUGCCGUAACUUCGGGAGAAGGCACGCUGAUAUGUAGGUGAAGCCCCUGCGGGUGGAGCUGAAAUCAGUCGAAGAUACCAGCUGGCUGCAACUGUUUAUUAAAAACACAGCACUGUGCAAACACGAAAGUGGACGUAUACGGUGUGACGCCUGCCCGGUGCCGGAAGGUUAAUUGAUGGGGUUAGCGGCAACGCGAAGCUCUUGAUCGAAGCCCCGGUAAACGGCGGCCGUAACUAUAACGGUCCUAAGGUAGCGAAAUUCCUUGUCGGGUAAGUUCCGACCUGCACGAAUGGCGUAAUGAUGGCCAGGCUGUCUCCACCCGAGACUCAGUGAAAUUGAACUCGCUGUGAAGAUGCAGUGUACCCGCGGCAAGACGGAAAGACCCCGUGAACCUUUACUAUAGCUUGACACUGAACACUGGUCCUUGAUGUGUAGGAUAGGUGGGAGGCUUUGAAGCGUGGACGCCAGUCUGCGUGGAGCCAACCUUGAAAUACCACCCUUUAAUGGCUGGUGUUCUAACGUAGACCCGUAAUCCGGGUUGCGGACAGUGUCUGGUGGGUAGUUUGACUGGGGCGGUCUCCUCCCAAAGAGUAACGGAGGAGCACGAAGGUUGGCUAAUCCUGGUCGGACAUCAGGAGGUUAGUGCAAUGGCAUAAGCCAGCUUGACUGCGAGCGUGACGGCGCGAGCAGGUGCGAAAGCAGGUCAUAGUGAUCCGGUGGUUCUGAAUGGAAGGGCCAUCGCUCAACGGAUAAAAGGUACUCCGGGGAUAACAGGCUGAUACCGCCCAAGAGUUCAUAUCGACGGCGGUGUUUGGCACCUCGAUGUCGGCUCAUCACAUCCUGGGGCUGAAGUAGGUCCCAAGGGUAUGGCUGUUCGCCAUUUAAAGUGGUACGCGAGCUGGGUUUAGAACGUCGUGAGACAGUUCGGUCCCUAUCUGCCGUGGGCGCUGGAGAAUUGAGGGGGGCUGCUCCUAGUACGAGAGGACCGGAGUGGACGCAUCACUGGUGUUCGGGUUGUCAUGCCAAUGGCACUGCCCGGUAGCUAAAUGCGGAAGAGAUAAGUGCUGAAAGCAUCUAAGCACGAAACUUGCCCCGAGAUGAGUUCUCCCUGAGAC
RNAcentral lists this ribosomal RNA (2793 nucleotides) under Enterobacter cloacae. RNAcentral describes it as "bacterial LSU rRNA". It matches the Rfam family "Bacterial large subunit ribosomal RNA". RNAcentral also lists the same sequence under 1 other name. Lineage: Bacteria; Pseudomonadati; Pseudomonadota; Gammaproteobacteria; Enterobacterales; Enterobacteriaceae. The record is from RNAcentral.